Molecule: long non-coding RNA, 557 nt
Filed under: Olea europaea subsp. europaea
Lineage: Eukaryota; Viridiplantae; Streptophyta; Magnoliopsida; Lamiales; Oleaceae
Source: RNAcentral
UUUGAUGUCAUAAAAACUAUAGGUUGCAUUCGUUGCCGAUAGUGAUUUGGCCUUUUUUUUUUAUUUUGUUAUUAGAAUGGCUGGAAAGAAUUCGGAAGUUUGUCACAGCUGCAGGGUUAAAGGCCAUUUCGUUGACAAUUGCCCAAUAAAAGCGCAGAUGCCCAUGGUGUAACAACGGUUUUCAAAAAUGUUUUAAGAUUGAAAGGAAUAAUUUAAACAAAUGAAAAUUCUUCAACUGUUGCAGUCACAAAUGUGGAUUUUGAGAGUGCUGCAACGUUAAGGAAUCAAGUGGUGAAUCGAGUGACGUUAGCCAUACUGAAAUUGACCAUAUGUCACGCAUGUUCCAAUCUCAAGUUCGACUGAAAGACAAAGAAGAAAUCCACAUAUCCCUAAAUAUGACAAUCCACAAGAAGAAGCGAAAUGAUGAUUAGUAAACAGGAACGAAAAGAGUCGGGGUUAUUAGUACGGGUUGCUUUCUUAUCUAUUUGUGUGUGUUGCUUAGUAGUUUCGGUAUAUGUUAAUGUGUAGCUAUUUCAAUGUGUAAUGGAUAUUGAAGC